UUAUAGCCCGGAUUGCAGUGAAAAUCCUUUUUUGCGGCGGUCUGCGGCCGCCGCAAAAAAGAUUGUAACGGAAAGCUGGUAAAAUG
RNAcentral lists this small RNA (86 nucleotides) under Flavobacteriaceae bacterium 3519-10. RNAcentral's name for it is "Flavo-1 RNA". It matches the Rfam family "Flavo-1 RNA". Lineage: Bacteria; Pseudomonadati; Bacteroidota; Flavobacteriia; Flavobacteriales; Flavobacteriaceae. The record is from Rfam by way of RNAcentral.